Molecule: non-coding RNA, 22 nt
Filed under: Sclerotinia sclerotiorum
Lineage: Eukaryota; Fungi; Ascomycota; Leotiomycetes; Helotiales; Sclerotiniaceae
Source: RNAcentral
UGUUUAAUUCCUUCGUUGUGGU